UACGUAGGCAGCGAGCGUUGUUCGGAGUUACUGGGCGUAAAGCGUGCGUAGGCGGUUUUGCAAGUCUGGUGUGAAAUCUCCCGGCUCAACUGGGAGGGUGCGCCGGAAACUGCAAGGCUGGAGUAUGGGAGAGGUAGGCGGAAUUCCUGGUGUAGCGGUGGAAUGCGCAGAUAUCAGGAGGAACACCGAUGGCGAAGGCAGUUCUCUGGGCCGUAACUGACGCUGAGGAGCGAAAGCGUGGGGAGCGAACAGG
RNAcentral lists this ribosomal RNA (253 nucleotides) under uncultured bacterium. RNAcentral describes it as "partial 16S ribosomal RNA". It matches the Rfam family "Bacterial small subunit ribosomal RNA", at positions 524 to 776 of the family's 1533-position model. The record is from RNAcentral.